CGGGAUGUAGCCCCGCUCCAGCGGGGUACUUCGUUCGGGACGAAGGGGUCGCUGGUUCGAAUCCAGUCAUCCCAA
RNAcentral lists this transfer RNA (75 nucleotides) under Bacteroidota bacterium. RNAcentral's name for it is "Bacteroidetes bacterium tRNA-Pro". It matches the Rfam family "tRNA". Rfam says of the family: Transfer RNA (tRNA) molecules are approximately 80 nucleotides in length. RNAcentral also lists the same sequence under 1 other name. The record is from RNAcentral. Lineage: Bacteria; Pseudomonadati; Bacteroidota.